UAAGUUAUAAUAUUACAAUAUAAUUGUUAAGUUAUUUUUGUAAGUGAAAAUAAUUUAUUCAAUCUUGUAAGUUAUUUAUACGACUGCAUCGAGAACAUACUUUCUUUAAUUUGUUCUGUGUACAAAAUCAAAUUUUCGCCGUUAUUUUUCUAUCUGACUGACGCUUGAAUUUUCCUGGCUUUCCCGCCAUUUUGUUUUGUCUCACUAUUUCUAUAGCGGAGACUUUACGAAAAAAUUACAAUUUGCUUACAAUAUUCACUUAUUGAUGCAAAUUUUAAUUCUUUUUAUCAUUGAAAGGACACUGUUCUUUUGCUACUAAUCUAUUUGUUUUGCUUGUUGUUUUUUGUGACUGAUUACAGAACUUCGUCCAAAGUCAGCGUGUUAAGGUUUUCCCUCCGUUUGUGACCUGCGUCUUCCCUCAGCCAUCAUCAGCCUUGUGACCAGUCUUACACCUCCAAUAAUUUCCACUUUUCCCUGUCUGACAUGAUUCGGAUUCGCAAGUGCGUCGUAGAUGGCUGCAAAUCUGAUGUGGGAUCUAAAACCUCCCGGUGGCCGCAUGACCCUCGAGUUUCAGAUGUUUGGUUGGACACUCUCAAACCAUAUUGUUCCGGGUUGAUGGGCCUACCUAGAUAUCGUCUCAGGGAAAAAGUUGUGUGUUUGAAGCAUUUUGAACCCAAAAGUUUCACAAGAGGAAGGAGGCACUACAUGGCUGUACCAUCUUUAUUUACAGCUGAGGAAAUUUCAUCUGGCAAGCCAAAAUAUGAAAAUUUCCACUCCAUGCAUGCUAAAUGGGAUCACGAUUAUGCAAAGAAAAUACCUCUCAAUGCACCUCUGGAAACUACCAAAAGACAUCUGUCAGAAUGAAC
Plutella xylostella (diamondback moth) is the source of this 866-nucleotide long non-coding RNA. RefSeq lists it as uncharacterized. The record is from RefSeq and is a predicted model, not a curated record. Lineage: Eukaryota; Metazoa; Arthropoda; Insecta; Lepidoptera; Plutellidae.